CACCUACGGGAGGCAGCAGUGGGGAAUAUUGGACAAUGGGCGCAAGCCUGAUCCAGCAAUGCCGCGUGAGUGAUGAAGGCCUUAGGGUUGUAAAGCUCUUUCGCACGCGACGAUGAUGACGGUAGCGUGAGAAGAAGCCCCGGCUAACUUCGUGCCAGCAGCCGCGGUAAUACGAAGGGGGCUAGCGUUGUUCGGAAUGACUGGGCGUAAAGGGCGCGUAGGCGGUUGAUCAAGUUGGGGGUGAAAGCCCGGGGCUUAACCUCGGAAUUGCCUUCAAGACUGGUCAGCUAGAGUGUGGAAGAGGGUUGUGGAAUUCCCAGUGUAGAGGUGAAAUUCGUAGAUAUUGGGAAGAACACCAGUGGCGAAGGCGACAACCUGGUCCAUUACUGACGCUGAGGCGCGACAGCGUGGGGAGCAAACAGGAUUAGAUACCCUGGUAGUCCACGCCGUAAACGAUGAGUGCUGGAUGUUGGGCGGUUGCCGCUCAGUGUCGAAGUUAACGCGAUAAGCA
Molecule: ribosomal RNA, 511 nt
Filed under: uncultured bacterium
Lineage: Bacteria
Description: bacterial SSU rRNA
Rfam family: Bacterial small subunit ribosomal RNA
Source: RNAcentral